This 801-nucleotide long non-coding RNA is filed under the name Coturnix japonica (Japanese quail). RNAcentral describes it as "lncRNA (ENSCJPG00005010604.1)". Lineage: Eukaryota; Metazoa; Chordata; Aves; Galliformes; Phasianidae. The record is from RNAcentral.
CCUCCCCUUUGUGUGUUUCAGUGCUUUGUAUGCUAUUGCAAAGAGAUAAUGGGUUUUCAGGAGUGGAUGUCAGAAUUGCAUUCAUAUGCUUGGCCAAAUGAUAGCUAAGUUCAAUAAAGCGGCAGACAUUUCAAAAACAAGAGCAACGGUCCUACCUUAAACGAAGGUCUCGCCCACGGGCCUCCUCGUGGUGCUUCUGCAAGUAAACGCCUCGUGCUGCCGGCCUGCUACACCUGCCGGGGAGGAGCCACCUCCCCACCCCCCAUGGAGCUUCCACAGAACGCAGCUGUUAACACCUAAUAAUUACCGUUUUGUGACUCCGGUACUGGGAGCGGCAGUGGCUGAUGCUGCUUUUGAGACCGCUCGUCAGUUAGGAAUCGCUGACCCCCCGCAGACAACGCAUUUAUUUAGGGACAUGGAAAGACUUCAAAUGAAAUUUCCCUUUUUGACUGGCACUGCAAUUCUCUGGAUUUAGGAUACCUCUGAAGGAAUGACGAAGUCUCUGUGUCUGAAAAACAUAAAUGGUGAACCUCCAGUGCACCCUAUUUCUUACUGUAGUGUUCAUGUGUUCCAGAAUUUUUCCUCUAUUGUCUUAAAACAUGAUGGCUUUUUUAUAUAAUUAGCCCAAGUUUCCAGAACUCUCACUUUUAUGGCUGAAAUACAUACCAUUCAGCUAUCUACCUGGACAAGAAAGUAGAGCUGUGCUUUUUUGGAAUGUCACUAAAUGUCCAAACAACAGAAUUAUUUGUUUGCAGUGAUCAGAUUAGAGCCUAACAUGCAUUUAGGUGUAACAGAUCUUUG